CGUCUCUCUGGAGAUUCUAUUCAGAAAUUUCAUCUUAGUGUUGGCAACCAGUGGCAGAUUUCUUCUAUUCCAUCAAUCGGUUUAUCAGGAGGAAUCAUCAUCCUCUGGCACCGUAAUUUUGACCAUGUUCAGUUUGACAGUUCUAUUCGGCAGCUGGCUGUGGGAGUGGUGUCUGCCCCUAGAGUGCAACCAUGGCUUCUUGGGGUGGUUUACGCCAGCAC
RNAcentral lists this long non-coding RNA (221 nucleotides) under Elaeis guineensis (African oil palm). RNAcentral describes it as "long non-coding RNA (EGUI_LNC018874)". The record is from RNAcentral. Lineage: Eukaryota; Viridiplantae; Streptophyta; Magnoliopsida; Arecales; Arecaceae.